RNAcentral lists this ribosomal RNA (253 nucleotides) under uncultured bacterium. RNAcentral describes it as "partial 16S ribosomal RNA". It matches the Rfam family "Bacterial small subunit ribosomal RNA", at positions 524 to 776 of the family's 1533-position model. The record is from RNAcentral.
UACAGAGGGUGCGAGCGUUAAUCGGAAUUACUGGGCGUAAAGCGCGCGCAGGCGGUUUCUUAAGUCUGAUGUGAAAGCCCACGGCUCAACCGUGGAAGGUCAUUGGAAACUGGGGAACUUGAGUGCAGAAGAGAAGAGCGGAAUUCCACGUGUAGCGGUGAAAUGCGUAGAGAUCCGGAGGAACCCCAGAGGCGAAGGCGGCGUCCUGGCUCACAACUGACGCUCAUACACGACAGCAUGGGGAGCGAACGGG